UGGGGAAUUUUGGACAAUGGGCGAAAGCCUGAUCCAGCAAUGCCGCGUGUGUGAAGAAGGCCUUCGGGUUGUAAAGCACUUUUGUCCGGAAAGAAAUCCUUGGCUCUAAUACAGUCGGGGGAUGACGGUACCGGAAGAAUAAGCACCGGCUAACUACGUGCCAGCAGCCGCGGUAAUACGUAGGGUGCAAGCGUUAAUCGGAAUUACUGGGCGUAAAGCGUGCGCAGGCGGUUUGCUAAGACCGAUGUGAAAUCCCCGGGCUCAACCUGGGAACUGCAUUGGUGACUGGCAGGCUAGAGUAUGGCAGAGGGGGGUAGAAUUCCACGUGUAGCAGUGAAAUGCGUAGAGAUGUGGAGGAAUACCGAUGGCGAAGGCAGCCCCCUGGGCCAAUACUGACGCUCAUGCACGAAAGCGUGGGGGAGCAAAACAGGAUUAGAUACCCCUGGUAGUCCACGCCCUAAACGAUGUCAACUAGUUGUUGGGGAUUCAUUUCCUUAGUAACGUAGCUAACGCGUGAAGUUGACCGCCUGGGGAGUACGGUCGCAAGAUUAAAACUCAAAUGAAUUG
RNAcentral lists this ribosomal RNA (567 nucleotides) under uncultured bacterium. RNAcentral describes it as "partial 16S ribosomal RNA". It matches the Rfam family "Bacterial small subunit ribosomal RNA", at positions 355 to 912 of the family's 1533-position model. The record is from RNAcentral.